Molecule: unclassified non-coding RNA, 378 nt
Filed under: uncultured bacterium
Lineage: Bacteria
Description: contains 16S-23S intergenic spacer region
Source: RNAcentral
UCCGGUUUGUCACCGGCAGUCUCAUUAGAGUGCCCAACUAAAUGUAGCAACUAAUGACAAGGGUUGCGCUCGUUGCGGGACUUAACCCAACAUCUCACGACACGAGCUGACGACAGCCAUGCAGCACCUGUGUUCUGGCUCCCUUUCGGGCACCCUCGCAUCUCUACGAGGUUCCAGACAUGUCAAGGGUAGGUAAGGUUUUUCGCGUUGCAUCGAAUUAAACCACAUGCUCCGCUGCUUGUGCGGGCCCCCGUCAAUUCCUUUGAGUUUCAGCCUUGCGGCCGUACUCCCCAGGCGGGGCACUUAAUGCGUUAGCGCCGGCACCCAGGGGGUCGCUCCCCCAGGCACCUAGUGCCCAUCGUUUACGGCGUGGACUAC